Molecule: long non-coding RNA, 291 nt
Filed under: Brassica napus (rape)
Lineage: Eukaryota; Viridiplantae; Streptophyta; Magnoliopsida; Brassicales; Brassicaceae
Description: long non-coding RNA (BNAP_LNC016138)
Source: RNAcentral
AUAUCAUAAAAAUAGCACUCAAAAACUAAAAUGACCAAAAUAGCAUUUUAUCUUUUGAAAAUUUUAAUUUUUUUAUUUUUCAAAAUUUGAAAUCUUAUCCCUAAAACCUCAUUUCUCAACUCUAAACCCUAAACCUUAAACUCUAAACACUAAACCCUAAACCCUAAACCCGAAACCCUAAACUCUAAACCCUAAAUCCUAAACUCUAAACCCUAAACCCUAAAUCCGAAACCCCACCCUUUAAUUCUAAACCCUAAGUUUGUGACUUUUGAUAAAACAUUAAGUGCUAUU